Molecule: ribosomal RNA, 253 nt
Filed under: uncultured bacterium
Lineage: Bacteria
Description: partial 16S ribosomal RNA
Rfam family: Bacterial small subunit ribosomal RNA
Source: RNAcentral
UACGUAGGGUGCAGGCGUUAAUCGGAAUUACUGGGCGUAAAGCGUGCGCAGGCGGUUUCUUAAGUCAGAUGUGAAAUCCCCGGGCUCAACCUGGGAACUGCAUUUGUGACUGCAUAGCUAGAGUACGGUAGAGGGGGAUGGAAUUCCGCGUGUAGCAGUGAAAUGCGUAGAUAUGCGGAGGAACACCGAUGGCGAAGGCAAUCCCCUGGACCUGUACUGACGCUCAUGCACGAAAGCGUGGGGAGCAAACAGG